AAUCAUGGCUCGGGAUGAACGCUAGCUACAGGCUUAACACAUGCAGGUCGAGGGGCAGCAUGGUCUUAGCUUGCUAAGGCCGAUGGCGACCGGCGCACGGGUGAGUAACACGUAUCCAACCUGCCGUCUACUCUUGGACAGCCUUCUGAAAGGAAGAUUAAUACAAGAUGGCAUCAUGAGUCCGCAUGUUCACAUGAUUAAAGGUAUUCCGGUAGACGAUGGGGAUACGUU
Molecule: ribosomal RNA, 231 nt
Filed under: uncultured bacterium
Lineage: Bacteria
Description: partial 16S ribosomal RNA
Rfam family: Bacterial small subunit ribosomal RNA
Source: RNAcentral